UGGAUAAGAUUGCAAAUUGGGCGUGAUACUAAUGUCUGCUUAUCACUCAACCUUAAUUUAAUUGUUUAUUAGUACAUGGAUCUCUGUGUGUGUGUGUGUGUGUGUGUGUGUGUGUGUGAGAGAGAGAGAGAGAGAGCCUGCUCUAUGCUCAGUAUCCAA
RNAcentral lists this small RNA (159 nucleotides) under Olea europaea subsp. europaea. Lineage: Eukaryota; Viridiplantae; Streptophyta; Magnoliopsida; Lamiales; Oleaceae. The record is from RNAcentral.